This is a long non-coding RNA of Egretta garzetta (little egret), 602 nucleotides long. RefSeq lists it as uncharacterized. The transcript has 2 exons. NCBI's taxonomy places the organism in Eukaryota, Metazoa, Chordata, Aves, Pelecaniformes, Ardeidae. The record is from RefSeq and is a predicted model, not a curated record.
UGAUUGGUGGGACAGGGCCACCGCUGCACUUAAAGCCUCCGACUGCAAUCGCUGCGAGCAGAUGAGGAAGUGUCCUGGCUCACUGUGAGCCGAGCCCCAACCAUGCAGCCCCUCCAGCGUGCCCACCUGCUCCUCCUGCUCGCCCUGCUUGUCCUCUGCAUGCCCCUUGGUCAGGCGGAGACAGAGGUGGUCACACGCACCUCCCUCACCACUCCAGGCCCCCUUGCAAAAAGCCUGAGCCCCCCCAGCGGCAGCCCACCCCUCCUCUCCCUCGCCCUGGGGCUGGCUGCGGCUUUCUUCCUGCGGCUGCGCUGACUCGGAGGGGGCCCACAGUGCACCCCAAGUUCCCCGGGGUGCAUGAAGAAGCCACCCCCCAGAAUGACAUCCCCUGCACCGGCACCUCCUUGGACCCUUGCAGCAUGAAGGACCAGCCAGCAUGACGCCAUCACGCCCGUCCCUGCCUCCCUCUCCUCCGUGCUCCCCUCACCCUCCAGCCUCGAAAACAAAUCCCGAAGCUGCCCUGGCUUGAAGCAAGGCCCAAGGACUGGCUCAGGAGCGGGCCUGCUAUGAGGCUCAGAGAAAUAAAUCCUUGGUGUAGACGC